RNAcentral lists this long non-coding RNA (868 nucleotides) under Homo sapiens (human). RNAcentral describes it as "HSALNT0322459". Lineage: Eukaryota; Metazoa; Chordata; Mammalia; Primates; Hominidae. The record is from RNAcentral.
AUGUAACGGGCAUGGUGUGCUUGUCUGAUGGACAGGGCAGCUUAGGGGAAUAAGUCUCUGCAGCGUUGUAGUGAAGAGAGAAUACGGGACAACUGCAGGACCACAGCUCAGCCAAGAGCUCCCUUGCAGCUGAGUUGGCCAUAUGACUGACAGCAAGCCCUGGAAUGCAGCCAGAAGUGAUAGAAGCCUCUUUCACACCAUGCUCCUAAAAUAUUCCAAGAAAUUUUCCAAACCUACUCUUUUUAGUCUGUGCAUCUGGAAGUGAAAGUUUUAGAAAGGGUAAAGUCACUUAAUGGAAAGGGCCCAGAUCUAGCCCCUCGGAGCCAAGCUGUCCAACUAGAAAUUCUGCAUUAGUAUUUGCGACCCCAGUAAAAAAAAAAAAGUCCCACAAAGAUGUAGGAUCUCACUUUGCCUGCGUUAAUUCCCUGUCCUUUGCCCAGUUUCUCCUCUCUUGGAAGGCAGAGGCAGCUUCUGAUUUUGAUCACUUCAUGUCCAGCAGAUCUUUGGAGAGAAAAUGCCAAGAGUGGAUGGAGAGGCAAUGGUGAAGCUGAGGCUGAAGUCGGAGGAAGCUGUGAACCCUGCAUGGGGUACCUGAACACCAGGGCAAGUUUCUGGCCCAGAAUGGCUUCUGGGAAAGGGGCCCUCAACAGAUUGGAAGAUGCCCAGGCAGUUGGGGAUGGCAAUCUGCUUUCUCAAUCUACUGAUUCAAAUGCUAAUCUCAUCCAGAAACAUCCUCACAGACAUACCCAGAAAUGAUCUUUAAUCUGGGCCAGUGAAAUUGACAUAUGAAAUUUAACCAUUACAAUAUCUCACCAGUGUCCUCAUUAAUUGAUGAGUUAAAUAAAAUCUUUGACAUGUGUGCAUUUUA